Molecule: long non-coding RNA, 4774 nt
Organism: Dreissena polymorpha
Lineage: Eukaryota; Metazoa; Mollusca; Bivalvia; Myida; Dreissenidae
Exons: 8
Source: RefSeq, a predicted model, not a curated record
GUACACACGACUUGAUCAGGUGGUCAGUUACAAGAAAAGUUUGAAUGUUUAAAGACGUUUUUAGUCUUUGUUUUGUCGUUGUUUCUUACAUUGGUUUGAAAUAAGAUGCGUUGAUUAUAAGCAGCCGCACAUGUAGAUGUGUAAGUGAGAGGAUUGAAGGAAGAGGUGUUCGAUUCCCUAAAUCGAUACCUUUAAAGGCUAUCCAUCACACAGAUUGUUUUGGAGUUGAUCAUACUAUUGUAACUCAACAUUAAAGAACCCCCCGUUAAAACCUGAACGGUCGUUGUUGUUUGGAAAAACACGUAGAGUUUCAAAUGGCGCCCAACGGGUUCGUUGACUAGUCGAGUCUGCAGAGAGUCGGUGUAAAGGAGCGGGUUGUGUUCCUGAAACAGCUGUUGACAUUGUUUUAGUGCUAGCAAACAUUAGACCAGGAUUCAACCACUUCAGACGUUUAAUUCAGGAUAGCAGUUUUAUUUUUUUCUGAUUUGGACACAUCAGAAAUACAUACUUUUAAGUGCUUUUAAAUCAGUUUUAAACCAUUCUAGUGGCAGAAUAAUCAAUUGUGUAUUGAUCAUGAAACUUCAUCGGUACAUUGAUCAUGACUGGCAGAUGACCCCUAUUGAUUUUCAGGUCACUAGGUCAAAGGUCAAGGUCACAGUGACUCGAAAUAGUAAAAUGGUUUCCGUGUGAUAACUCAAGAAUGCUUACGCCUAGGAUCAUGAAACUUCAUAGGUACAUUGAUCAUGACUGGCAAAUGACCUCUAUUGAUUUUCAGGUCACAAGGUCAAAACCACAGUGACUCGAAACAGUAAAAUGGUUUCCUGAUGAUAACUCAAGAAUAAUUAGGCCUAGGAUCAUGAAACUUCAUAGGUACAUUGAUCAUGACUGGCAGAUGACCCCUAUUGAUUUUCAGGUCACUAGGUCAAAGGUCAAGGUCACAAUUACAAAACACGUAUUCACACAAUGGCUGCCACUACAACUGACAGCCCAUAUGGGGGGCAUGCAUGUUUUACAAACAGCCCUUGUUUUGGUGUUUGAAUUUAAGCAUUUGCUGGAACACUUAUUUCUAUUGAUAAGGCUGUGUUAUACCAUUUUUGCCUUAUAUUUGGAAUUAAAAAUUUGUUUAAUUUGAAAAAUCUGUUUACAAUUUUGAAUUACCCCAGUUGCUAUUAUUGUUAUCAUGUACUCUAGGUAGAUCUAUUUAUAGACAAAAAAAUGUAGCCGCUACUAGGUAGCAGGAAGGUAGCAAGAAAAGGUGGCCGCUGCUAGGUAGCCAGAAAAGGUAGCAGCUACGUAGCCAGAACAGGUAGCCGAAAGGUAGCCAGAAAAGACUGUGGUACUGUUUGACGUGGUCGCAGUUCAAAAGGGAGAACGAGUGGACCCCGAGAACGGUUACACGCAUUCAAGACAUCGUUAGCCACAGAAUCAUCCAAGCGCACGACACUUUCCAGACUGUGGUACUGUUUGACGUGGUCGCAGUUCAAAAGGGAGAACGAGUGGACCCCGAGAACGGUUACACGCAUUCAAGACAUCGUUAGCCACAGAAUCAUCCAAGCGCACGACACUUUCCAGACUGUGGUACUGUUUGAUGUGGUCGCAGUUCAAAUGGGAGGACGAGUGGACCCCGAGAACGGUUACACGCAUUCAAGACAUCGUUAGCCACAGAAUCAUCCAAGCGCACGACACUUUCCAGACUGUGGUACUGUUUGACGUGGUCGCAGUUCAAAAGGGAGGACGAGUGGACCCCGAGAACGGUUACACGCAUUCAAGACAUCGUUAGCCACAGAAUCAUCCAAGCGCACGACACUUUCCAGACUGUGGUACUGUUUGACGUGGUCGCAGUUCAAAAGGGAGAACGAGUGGACCCCGAGAACGGUUACACGCAUUCAAGACAUCGUUAGCCACAGAAUCAUCCAAGCGCACGACACUUUCCAGGUCAGGGUCUGAAUUCAACGGAAUAGAAUCUUGAACUUGUUUCUCUACACAGGGCACAUGACUGUGGCAGGGGAUAUAUCAGUGAACGGGGGGUCCAUGAAAAUUAGAUAUCUUUAGGGUAGGGGUUACCUAUGGUCUUUAAAAAUCAAUUAGGUAUUUAUAAGAUGUAUUUCUUGUGUUAGGUUGUAGAAAGAAUGUCUCAAUUUUUUGGGAAAAAACAUUAAAACUAGCCACAGCUCCCUUGCGAGACAAUUUUGAAUCUUCAAAAAGGAGGUUUUCACUUUUGGCGGAAGUUAAUAUUUCACGCUGCAGAAACGGAACAAAACUUUGAAGGUAAAUUGUGAAAAAUCUAAACGUAUGGGAGACACUUUUCUAGGUAAAUAAACAAAGCACAGGGAUGAAAUUAAUGAGUGAUGUAGCCAAAACUAGGAUUGCAUUGUUUGAAUGUUCUGUGCAUGCCAUGAAAUGGGUCAAAUUUCUCAAUUUUUCAUUAAAAAUGAGGUGGGUGUGGGGAAAUAUCAAGGGCCAUAGUUUCACAAGUGAAGAAGCCAGCCUUGUCUUUGGUUGUAUUUUCAAUGUAUAUUGCCUAUGUUAUGACACUGACACAAAAAGGCUUUCUUGUGUCACUUUCUGUUUAGAUGAAAUGGAUUUGACUGUUUGCGGCCUUUCGGAACUCGAAAUUUGGUCAAAAAUAUAUCCCCUGCCCCCUUUCCCACCAACUGUCAAAGUCUCAUGCAGUCUCCAACCUAAAAGCCAAACAGUGAAUUUGUAGUAUACAACAAUGUUUUUCCUACCACAUGGACACAGAAAUAUUCAAAAAUAAAGUCAUAGCAAGUGCCCGUAAACAGAAUUGUGUCUUCAAAUAGUAUUUAGUUUAUUGUAACCUUUAACUUGCGGAUCAAAGCAACAGAUGUAAGGCGUCUUCUGAUUGGCCAACACUCAAGGGUCAGUAAAAAUUGUACGUUGACGUACAAUUUUGUACGUCGACGUACAAAAAAAUGUACGUUGACGUACAUAUUGCACGUCGACGUACAUUUCUCAUUUUACCUAGUAGGUCUUGUUGACCCAAAUGGUACGUCAUAGUCAGAUUUUUAAUUAUAAAAAACCUGGUAAGGGAUUCCUAGUGCCUCCGAAAGGGCCUAACCUGCCACCCCAAAGAUAGUCUUCAGUGUAGGUGAUUGUUUCUGUGUUCUUUAGACUAUACGACUGGCGUCAUGCGAAAAUGGAUCUCAUGCCAUAUGCCACAAGCUCCAGACAUGCAUGCAGAAUCGCACAGAUUGGUCAGGAGUUACGCUAUCUGCUUCAAAUUUGCACAAGGUUUCAUUGUCUCAUACGCGGACAGAGAACCGGUGGUUCCAGACCACACUGUACGGAUACGCUGGCUGGACUGGAGCUACCUUGGCCGAAUAUGGCAUAAGUCCCAUUUUCUUUUGACGCGACACAUAAAUGUAGAUAUUUGUGUUUUACAUUCUAACACAGUAUAAAUAAGAUUCAUAUAUUUUUGCAUGUAUAAACUAUAAAAUGUGUUAAAAUGUGUUUAAUUAAAAUAAAAGUAUUAAUGCAUGAGAAAGCUAUCCAACAUCAACAUCUAAAAACGCCCUGAAAUUAAUCGUGAAUGCUAUCGAUUUAAAACGAUUCCGUUGAUAAACAUCUUGGAUUCUGCAAGGGAGUGCUAAAUUCAUGAUUCAUUGUUGUUUAAUAAUGUAUUAAAAUUGCAAAAAUAGUCAUGACUGCUGUGAUAAAUAUUUACCUAUACACGGACUGAAUUGGAACACCAAAAUGCAUAUUAACAAACAAAUUUACAAAUAAUCCCAACCGUCCUUAUUUUAUGUAUUUAAAUGGCAUUUCCCAAUGCAUAGUGUUCACCGCAAAUAUUUAAUCUGACUAAAAGUGUCUUUAUUUUUUAAGUUAAGACUAACAUAAACCCUUUAAAACAGUAACCCGCAACACAUAUAUUAUAAUAUUUUCAUGUUGAUAUCCCACACCCCAAGAAAUGUUUGAUUUUGGAUGGAUUCAAAUCACUUGAUAUACAGAAAUAUUCCAACACAAAUAAUUACCCGGUAAGUGUAUGGUAUUUUUUUAUGAUCUUGCAGCUACAUGUAUCUGAGAUAUAGCCCUUUAAAGUAUACUGAUACAAAAACAACGAAGGGCAAUAACUGAUUUGAGAAAUUGUAGGGUUAUCGUUCUUCUGCAAGGCAAUGCUCCUCAUUAAUAACUAUACACCCAUGACGUUUCAUGUUGAAAUCCUGUAUGACAUCUGAGAUAUAGCUUUAAAAAGGUAACAUCUUACAAAAACACAGGGCAAUGACUCUUAUUUAAGAAAGUGAAGGGUUAUGGUUCUUGUACAUGGAACUUUUCCCAAUCAAUAUCUAUACAAACAUGAAGUUUCAUGUUUAUAUCAUUAUCUUAUAUGGUGUCGUUUAUAUCAUAUAUGGUGUCAUAGAUAUAGCCCUGAAACGUUUGUAACAGACAGAAAAAGCCAAUUCUAAACCCAUCCGCAUUUGGCAGGGGAUAAUAAACAACACCAAAAAUGCAGGUGUCUUUUUUCCUUCAAGCUUAUUCUUCAACAUUCAUUCAUCAUGUCAAUAUUGUCAAUAUGGAUUUAUUCAUAUUUAGUGGAUUGUGAAACAACACCAACAUAUUUUAAAAUGAUUGAGAGAUAUAAAAAAAAUCUUAACAAGACCUAAAAGAUUCAGCAUCUUUAAAACAAAACUCUUACACAAUAAAAUGUCACAAUAUUACACAACUGUCAUUUUUUAGGGCUGCACUGCAUGCCGUGUUUUCUUUUCAGCAUAUGAAUGUUGCUCACUGCUAACUGUCUUUGUCUGAAAAGUAUGUU